This 253-nucleotide ribosomal RNA is filed under the name uncultured bacterium. RNAcentral describes it as "partial 16S ribosomal RNA". It matches the Rfam family "Bacterial small subunit ribosomal RNA", at positions 524 to 776 of the family's 1533-position model. The record is from RNAcentral.
UACGUAGGGGGCAAGCGUUGUCCGGAGUUACUGGGCGUAAAGCGCACGCAGGCGGUCAGUUGCGUCGUUGGUGACAGUCCCCGGCUUAACUGGGGAAGCGCUGGCGAAACGGGCUGACUUGAGGGCCAGAGAGGGACACGGAACUCCGGGUGGAGCGGUGAAAUGCGUAGAGAUCCGGAAGAACACCGAAGGCGAAGGCAGUGUCCUGGCUGGUUCCUGACGCUCAGGUGCGAAAGCUAGGGGAGCAAACAGG